This 203-nucleotide small nuclear RNA is filed under the name Chelonoidis abingdonii (Abingdon island giant tortoise). RNAcentral's name for it is "U4 spliceosomal RNA (ENSCABG00000019787.1)". It matches the Rfam family "U4 spliceosomal RNA". Rfam says of the family: U4 small nuclear RNA (U4 snRNA) is a component of the major U2-dependent spliceosome. Lineage: Eukaryota; Metazoa; Chordata; Testudines; Testudinidae. The record is from RNAcentral.
AGCUUUGCGCAGUGGCAUAUCAUAACCAAUGAAGUUAAUCGAGGUGUGAUUAUUGCUAGUUGAAAUCCGCUCCUCCCCCCUUCCUGGUGGUAGAUGGUACAGUACUACUGUAGACAGCAAGAAACUGUUACCGUCUCAUCUCUUUUGUUACACUCAUCGUAAAUGGACAGAACGGAUAAUAACUCUGUGAAAAUUUUUGAAAG